AUGCAUUGUUUGACAGACCUGGAGCAGUUACUGUCUGCUACUAAGGUUUUCACUACAGAUUCGAGAAAAAAGUGUCCUCCGGCUUCCUGUCUGUCUGCUCAUGGCAGCCAAGAUGGAAUAGAGUAAUACAGGG
Molecule: small nucleolar RNA, 133 nt
Organism: Prolemur simus (greater bamboo lemur)
Lineage: Eukaryota; Metazoa; Chordata; Mammalia; Primates; Lemuridae
Source: Ensembl